GAUCGUAAAUCUGUGGUGAGGCAUGAUUGUACAGUCGCUGUUUUCCGGCCUAGCCUACCUUGUAGGGUUGUUGCAAGGAUGAAAUGGGAACGGUGGGCGGGGGAAAGAGGUCCUUCGUGGACUGCCUUGGAGGAAAAGCAGCAUAUAAAUAAAAGAAAGGAAUCAAUCUGGCGGGUCUUCGGUGCAAUCUACGACGGCGCCUCUUCUGGUUUGGUAAGAGUAAGGGCGGGUUACUUAAAGGCUCACCCUUCUUGCCACUGCCAAAUAAGCGCCCCUCGACGAUCUCGCGGUUCCUACAGCUUCGAGUGAGCCCACAAGGAACGGGGAGAAUUAUUACAGACACUAGCUCCAUUAUAACCCAACCUCGGUCACUUUCUCCCCGCCAUAGCAACUGGUUGGUUGCGCGGGAGGAGCCCGGGAAGAGCGCAAGGUGGGGAUCCAAACGGCGACUUACCAUGUCGCUUCCUUCCCUCAGCCGCGGGUCCCCGCCCCGAACGGCGGGAAUGCGAGUUUAAGAGAAAAAAGAAGCGCCAAGGAGCCGGCGCUCCGCCUCCUGGCAGACUAGCACCAUCUGAUGCCUCUAAACUGCAUCGCGCCCCGCCGGACUCGGAAAGACUACGUCAGCGCCGCCUCGCGUCCCCUCUCAGUCUUCCUUGCUCCACCCUACAGAGAUAGGAAAAGAGAAACAUGAGAGCUCACGCAAGCAAAGACACUUCCGGUGAACGUUAAAUGCCCACUCUGGUAAUCUGUUUCCUAUUCCUAAAAUGGACGUCGCUCCAGCUAGCUCUUGUCAUCUCAGUGGUUAAAGUGGGAAAUCGAACUGUUUUAAGGACUGUCGUGUCUGACUUUCGUUGUAUUUGUAUUUAUUUACUCUACAGUCCUAGGUACCCUCACAUCAGACCGGUUGAUCGAUGGAAAAAGAAAACUGAAACAAAGAACCACAGCAAGAUGAAAGAGCAACACAUACUUUCAGUAGAGAUUAAAAGUUUUGGAAAAGAAAAGGCACCCAGUGUAGCUGCGCCUUCUGUACACUUUUCUAUUUCUAUGCUCCGUCCUCCUCACCCCCAGCUUCUUCCGGUUCCUCGUAACAAAUCCUUCCAACCAUGCAAAGGAGAAAGGUUCGAAGUCGCAUGUCGGCCCCGACUUCCCGUUUUAUUUGGGAUCUCUCUCCCGCACCGUCUGCCUGAAUUAUGCCUGGUGCGUAACGCUCGUCUGCAUUCCCCUGAGCGCGGGCUUUAAAGAAGGGGACGGCGGAGAUGCCAAUUUAAGGAGCUGCCGCUUUGCUGCAGUGCAAAGCGAGAGAUUUUGCUUUGGGAUCUUUUUGCUGUCUGAUGGCCAACAUGACUGUGUAUCGAUCUUAUGUAACUGUAUUUUCUUCUAAUUUCUGAUUGUGAACUGCUCUGGGUUCUAAUUUCUGAUUGUGAACUGCUCAUAUGAAAGACGGUAUGCAAUAUCUUAAACAAAUAAAUUUUAGGCAGGCACAAGGACACUGUUAGCAGAUUAUUGUCUGUUACUGUUAUUAUGCUGCUGGUUACAUCUUCAGUAAUGGCCCACAAUUCAACUUGAAACAUGAAUAUAAUCAUCGCUAUGAACUUACUUUACAGAGUUCUAAAGUGCUCUGUCUCACCCACCCAUAGGUGAAGAUAAUAAUACUGAACUACACUGCAAGGUUGUGGAAAGGCACUCUCAGACCCCCGUCCAUCUGUAAUAUGCAGUUGUGCGCUAUAUUUCCAUUUAUUUGCAUUUAUAGUGCAAUUCUUUUAAUUUUUAAAUUACUAUUUUAAAACUCUCAUUUAAACAUCACACACAACAUCUAUUUGGAGAAGUAUGAACUAUUUCUACCUUUUUGGAAGGUGGCGAGGUGAAAGAGACCUGCUUUCAUUUAAUAGCUACGACUAAGUCCUACAAUUGUCUAUUAUUUCCUAAAUCCAGUUGUUAUUCACUCUCCCUCUGGUAAGGGUACAUGGCAUUAGUAGUCACUAAUAAAGACUCCUCCAGUUUGGUGGUGGUGGUGGGUUCCAGGUGUAUUCUGAAACACAUCAUUGACACAAUAAUAGUGUAUUAGUGGUGGAUUUCUAUGGGAUCAUCGACACAUCAUUCUGCUUUAUUAUGAGAUGUUUCCCAGUGUGGAGGGUCAUUCUUCUGCUACAGCACAACAAAAGCAAGAUUUAAAAAACCCCAACAACACCUGAACAUUUGUGGUACCAAAAAGCUACAGGAUUUCAGCCAGAAGUUAUAGGAUGUGCACUGAUUGGAAAUGAAGCAGUGUGUCCACCCCAAAGCUUUGCACGCAGAAAUACAAAUCAUCAUGAAUGCAUAAUAAAAGGGGACAUUUUUUCUGCAGGCAAAGUAGCCAUUGAUCUAGCAUGUUUUCAUAUCGUUGGUCACAAGUAAUUUUAUUCCAUAAUCUACAAACCUGCUUCCAAGCAUAUUGACAUAAAGCAUCCUUAUAGCCUUUGCUCCUGCCCUAAAAUGGUGAUUGUGGAGACAGACUAAGAUAUUACAUGCAGUGCUAGUAAAAGACAAAUUGGUCAAACUGAAUCAAAUAAUAAUUGCAUUUUUUUUAUAAAAAAACCCUGAGAGAACUGAGCAGACAACAUAUAGGGAAAGACAACCUGGAUCAAACAACAGUUCUCCACAUUUCCACACCUUUGUGUAGAUUUUUUUAAGUCCUCAUAAAUUCAUCAGCAUUUUAGUGAUUUUGCUUAAUACAUAUAUGCAUUUUUGCCCAAUAUAUACAUUUUAUCAGAACAUAUUUUCUCUAAUAUAAUGUACCUUUUGUGUUAUUUUCACUAAUAUAUGCAUUGUUAUGUACACUUUGCCUUUGUCUAUGCAUUUUUGCACACAUUCCUUGGCUGCACAAAUGAAUUGUAAAAUUCAAAGGAAUGCAAAAUUCAUAGGAUUGCCUGUUUGGUUUGCAUGUUGUAUUAGAAAGGCCAAAUUGGGUAGAUUUGCCUUUAAAUGUGACCUGAAUUGAAUUUCUGCCCCAUCCCUAGCUGAGAGAGAGACAAGCUUACUUAGGGCCAUCUAGCAAAUUCUUGGCAGAAAGCAAGAUUCAAACUGAAAGCUUCUGGUGAAGUACAAGGAGUUUUUUAACCACUAUAUGAACUCACACAGAAGAUGAAAGUUUGACAGGCACAGCUUCUCUCAUGCAGAACUGAGAACAAAUUGUAUCUGCAGUACUCUGGUAUGCCCUGAGUGUAACCCCACAUGUAGGAUUUUUGCCGGCAAAGAUGAUAAAACACAGCUACUUCUUGCAAUUUGAGAACAUUCUCAGUUGAUAUAAAGUAUAGAAAUGGUUGAGCAGGAGGAUAUUACAAGAGAUACUGGUGACAUUGUGGAGAUGGACACAUUGCGCAAACAGCAAUAGCUUUCUCCAGGCCACUACACCUGCCCAAAGGAUUUACAAUAUACUGAAUAUUUGUAUUAAAAUGAGACAGUCCGAAUAAUUUAGAGCACAGCAUCCAUUGCAUUUGCUGCAGCCAGUACCAGAGCAAAUCUUAUUCAAAAUGUUCUUUGCUGUAACGGAUUGUGGAUCUCCUUUGUUUUAAUUAGAUUUUACUUUUGCUCUCUAGGAGAGAAAACACGUUUAUGCAGGUGACUUGCUGUUAAAUAACUGCUACAAGUGCUUGUAAAUUUGUUUUUAGCAUUUACAAAACGUUUUGCUAAUCUUCCUUUUGUAAAAGCCUAUGGCUGCUAGCUAUAAAACUGAACUGGCUAAUAUAUACAUGCGACUUUAAAUAUUGUCACAGCUGCUGUGGAACCAAUCUGAUUUCUUGCAAUGUUAAUAGUCCCAGGGCAGGUCACAACAAUAUAAAAUACUUUAUUAAAAACCAUUUAAAACAA
This is a long non-coding RNA of Rhineura floridana, 3846 nucleotides long. RefSeq lists it as uncharacterized. The transcript has 2 exons. Lineage: Eukaryota; Metazoa; Chordata; Lepidosauria; Squamata; Rhineuridae. The record is from RefSeq and is a predicted model, not a curated record.